GAGGGAUUCAGAGAAAAGGACUGCAUGAUAUAAGCCUUAAUGGAAUGACGGACCAGUACUCUACUCAGAUGCUCAAGUCCACCAGGAGUUGCGUACAGUCCUGGCCAUGAGAUGGAAGUCCCAGGGAAGAUCACAAAAUACAGC
RNAcentral lists this long non-coding RNA (144 nucleotides) under Bos mutus (wild yak). RNAcentral's name for it is "lncRNA (ENSBMUG00000006509.1)". The record is from RNAcentral. Lineage: Eukaryota; Metazoa; Chordata; Mammalia; Artiodactyla; Bovidae.